GGGGAAUAUUGGGCAAUGGACGCAAGUCUGACCCAGCAACGCCGCGUGAAGGAAGAAGGCUUUCGGGUUGUAAACUUCUUUUAAGGGGGAAGAGUAGAAGACGGUACCCCUUGAAUAAGCCACGGCUAACUACGUGCCAGCAGCCGCGGUAAUACGUAGGUGGCAAGCGUUGUCCGGAUUUACUGGGUGUAAAGGGCGUGUAGCCGGGAAGGCAAGUCAGAUGUGAAAUCUGGAGGCUCAACCUCCAAACUGCAUUUGAAACUGCUUUUCCUGAGUGUGCGAGGGGGAAUGCGGAUUCCUUGGGUUGCAGUGAAAAGGGUAGAUAAUAAGAAGAACAACCAGUGGGAAGGCGGAUUUAUGGGCCAAUACCGACGGGGGGGGGCCAAAGGGGGGGGAGCAAACA
This 403-nucleotide ribosomal RNA is filed under the name uncultured Oscillibacter sp. RNAcentral describes it as "partial 16S ribosomal RNA". It matches the Rfam family "Bacterial small subunit ribosomal RNA", at positions 356 to 774 of the family's 1533-position model. Lineage: Bacteria; Bacillati; Bacillota; Clostridia; Eubacteriales; Oscillospiraceae. The record is from RNAcentral.